GACGAACGCUGGCGGCGUGCUUAACACAUGCAAGUCGAACGGAAAGGCCCUGCUUUUGUGGGGUGCUCGAGUGGCGAACGGGUGAGUAACACGUGAGUAACCUGCCCCUGACUUUGGGAUAACUUCAGGAAACUGGGGCUAAUACCGGAUAGGAGCUCCUGCUGCACGGUGGGGGUUGGAAAGUUUCGGCGGUUGGGGAUGGACUCGCGGCUUAUCAGCUUGUUGGUGGGGUAGUGGCUUACCAAGGCUUUGACGGGUAGCCGGCCUGAGAGGGUGACCGGCCACAUUAGUACUGAGAUACGGCCCAGACUCCUACGGGAGGCAACAGUGGGGAAUAUUGCACAGUGGGCGGAAGCCUGAUGCAGCGACGCCGCGUGCGGGAUGACGGCCUUCGGGUUGUAAACCGCUUUCGCCUGUGACGAAGAGUGAGUGACGGUAAUGGGUAAAGAAGCACCGGCUAACUACGUG
RNAcentral lists this ribosomal RNA (468 nucleotides) under uncultured bacterium. RNAcentral describes it as "partial 16S ribosomal RNA". It matches the Rfam family "Bacterial small subunit ribosomal RNA", at positions 28 to 507 of the family's 1533-position model. The record is from RNAcentral.